CCUACGGGAGGCAGCAGUGGGGGAUAUUGCACAAUGGGGGAAACCCUGAUGCAGCGACGCCGCGUGUGGGAAGACGGUCCUCUGGAUUGUAAACCACUGUCCCCAGGGACGAAGAUGACGGUACCUGGGGAGGCAGCUCCGGCUAACAACGUGCCAGCAGCCGCGGGACUACGUAGGGAGCGAGCGUUGUCCGGAAUUACUGGGUGUAAAGGGAGCGUAGGCGGGACUGCAAGUUGGGUGUCAAAUCUACCGGCUCAACCGGUAGCCGCACUCGAAACUGCAGUUCUUGAGUGAAGUAGAGGCAGGCGGAAUUCCUAGUGUAGCGGUGAAAUGCGUAGAUAUUAGGAGGAACACCAGUUGCGAAGGCGGCCUGCUGGGCUUUUACUGACGCUGAGGCUCGAAAGUGUGGGUAGCAAACAGGAUUAGAUACCCGGGUAGUC
RNAcentral lists this ribosomal RNA (440 nucleotides) under uncultured bacterium. Its description in RNAcentral is "partial 16S ribosomal RNA". It matches the Rfam family "Bacterial small subunit ribosomal RNA", at positions 338 to 795 of the family's 1533-position model. The record is from RNAcentral.